ACUUUGUCAUUACUUGUGGAGCUCUGAUCAGCACGGGUGGCGAUGCAGUCCCAAAUCCAAAAAGAGAUCCAUCAUGGAUUGUACGGGAGAUACCGGAUCUGAUGGCUGUAUGGGGAGACAAAUCUGUUCUAUCACAGCUCCGUUACAGAAGACGAAAUGCCAAAGCAUUUGAAAAAA
This is a long non-coding RNA of Gopherus evgoodei (Goodes thornscrub tortoise), 177 nucleotides long. RefSeq lists it as uncharacterized. The record is from RefSeq and is a predicted model, not a curated record. The transcript has 3 exons. NCBI's taxonomy places the organism in Eukaryota, Metazoa, Chordata, Testudines, Testudinidae.